GCGCCUAUAGUUCAAUGGAUAGAGCGUAAGCCUCCGAAGCUUAAGAUGGUGGUUCGACUCCACCUAGGCGCA
Non-coding RNA from Deltaproteobacteria bacterium, 72 nucleotides. Lineage: Bacteria; Pseudomonadati; Myxococcota; Myxococcia. The record is from Rfam.